ACUAAGCGUACACGGUGGAUGCCCUGGCAGUCAGAGGCGAUGAAGGACGUGCUAAUCUGCGAAAAGCGCCGGCGAGGUGAUAUGAACCCUUGACCCGGCGAUGUCCGAAUGGGGAAACCCAGUGCAAUCCGUUGCACUAUCGUUAACUGAAUACAUAGGUUAACGAGGCGAACCGGGGGAACUGAAACAUCUAAGUACCCCGAGGAAAAGAAAUCAACCGAGAUUCCCCCAGUAGCGGCGAGCGAACGGGGAGCAGCCCGGAGUCUGAAUCAGCUUGUGUGUUAGUGGAACGGUCUGGAAAGUCCGACGGUACAGGGUGAUAGUCCCGUACACGAAAGCACACUUGCUGUGAACUCGAAGAGUAGGGCGGGACACGUGGUAUCCUGUCUGAAUAUGGGGGGACCAUCCUCCAAGGCUAAAUACUCCUGACUGACCGAUAGUGAACCAGUACCGUGAGGGAAAGGCGAAAAGAACCCCGGCGAGGGGAGUGAAAAAGAACCUGAAACCGUGUACGUACAAGCAGUGGGAGCACCUUCGUGGUGUGACUGCGUACCUUUUGUAUAAUGGGUCAGCGACUUAUAUUCUGUAGCAAGGUUAACCGUAUAGGGGAGCCGAAGGGAAACCGAGUCUUAACUGGGCGUUAAGUUGCAGGGUAUAGACCCGAAACCCGGUGAUCUAGCCAUGGGCAGGUUGAAGGUUGGGUAACACUAACUGGAGGACCGAACCGACUAAUGUUGAAAAAUUAGCGGAUGACCUGUGGCUGGGGGUGAAAGGCCAAUCAAACCGGGAGAUAGCUGGUUCUCCCCGAAAGCUAUUUAGGUAGCGCCUCGUGAACUCAUCUUCGGGGGUAGAGCACUGUUUCGGCUAGGGGGCCAUCCCGGCUUACCAACCCGAUGCAAACUACGAAUACCGAAGAAUGUUAUCACGGGAGACACACGGCGGGUGCUAACGUCCGUCGUGAAGAGGGAAACAACCCAGACCGCCAGCUAAGGUCCCAAAGUCAUGGUUAAGUGGGAAACGAUGUGGGAAGGCACAGACAGCCAGGAUGUUGGCUUAGAAGCAGCCAUCAUUUAAAGAAAGCGUAAUAGCUCACUGGUCGAGUCGGCCUGCGCGGAAGAUGUAACGGGGCUAAACCAUGCACCGAAGCUGCGGCAGCGACACUAUGUGUUGUUGGGUAGGGGAGCGUUCUGUAAGCCGUUGAAGGUGGCCUGUGAGGGUUGCUGGAGGUAUCAGAAGUGCGAAUGCUGACAUAAGUAACGAUAAAGCGGGUGAAAAGCCCGCUCGCCGGAAGACCAAGGGUUCCUGUCCAACGUUAAUCGGGGCAGGGUGAGUCGACCCCUAAGGCGAGGCCGAAAGGCGUAGUCGAUGGGAAACAGGUUAAUAUUCCUGUACUUGGUGUUACUGCGAAGGGGGGACGGAGAAGGCUAUGUCAGCCGGGCGACGGUUGUCCCGGUUUAAGCAUGUAGGCGGAGGUUCCAGGUAAAUCCGGUACCUUGUUAACGCUGAGGUGUGAUGACGAGGCACUACGGUGCUGAAGUGAUAAAUGCCCUGCUUCCAGGAAAAGCCUCUAAGCAUCAGGUAACACGAAAUCGUACCCCAAACCGACACAGGUGGUCAGGUAGAGAAUACCAAGGCGCUUGAGAGAACUCGGGUGAAGGAACUAGGCAAAAUGGUGCCGUAACUUCGGGAGAAGGCACGCUGAUGUGUAGGUGAAGUCCCUGCGGACGGAGCUGAAAUCAGUCGAAGAUACCAGCUGGCUGCAACUGUUUAUUAAAAACACAGCACUGUGCAAACACGAAAGUGGACGUAUACGGUGUGACGCCUGCCCGGUGCCGGAAGGUUAAUUGAUGGGGUUAGCUGUAAGGCGAAGCUCUUGAUCGAAGCCCCGGUAAACGGCGGCCGUAACUAUAACGGUCCUAAGGUAGCGAAAUUCCUUGUCGGGUAAGUUCCGACCUGCACGAAUGGCGUAAUGAUGGCCAGGCUGUCUCCACCCGAGACUCAGUGAAAUUGAACUCGCUGUGAAGAUGCAGUGUACCCGCGGCAAGACGGAAAGACCCCGUGAACCUUUACUAUAGCUUGACACUGAACACUGGUCCUUGAUGUGUAGGAUAGGUGGGAGGCUUUGAAGCGUGGACGCCAGUCUGCGUGGAGCCGCCCUUGAAAUACCACCCUUUAAUGGCUGGUGUUCUAACGUAGACCCGUAAUCCGGGUUGCGGACAGUGUCUGGUGGGUAGUUUGACUGGGGCGGUCUCCUCCCAAAGAGUAACGGAGGAGCACGAAGGUUGGCUAAUCCUGGUCGGACAUCAGGAGGUUAGUGCAAUGGCAUAAGCCAGCUUGACUGCGAGCGUGACGGCGCGAGCAGGUGCGAAAGCAGGUCAUAGUGAUCCGGUGGUUCUGAAUGGAAGGGCCAUCGCUCAACGGAUAAAAGGUACUCCGGGGAUAACAGGCUGAUACCGCCCAAGAGUUCAUAUCGACGGCGGUGUUUGGCACCUCGAUGUCGGCUCAUCACAUCCUGGGGCUGAAGUAGGUCCCAAGGGUAUGGCUGUUCGCCAUUUAAAGUGGUACGCGAGCUGGGUUUAGAACGUCGUGAGACAGUUCGGUCCCUAUCUGCCGUGGGCGCUGGAGAAUUGAGGGGGGCUGCUCCUAGUACGAGAGGACCGGAGUGGACGCAUCACUGGUGUUCGGGUUGUCAUGCCAAUGGCACUGCCCGGUAGCUAAAUGCGGAAGAGAUAAGUGCUGAAAGCAUCUAAGCACGAAACUUGCCCCGAGAUGAGUUCUCCCUGAGACUUUAAGUCUCCUGAAGGAACGUUAAAGACGAUGACGUUGAUAGGUCGGGUGUGUAAGCGCAGCGAUGCGUUGAGCUAACCGAUACUAAUGAACCGUGAGGCUUAACC
This 2894-nucleotide ribosomal RNA is filed under the name Enterobacter cloacae. RNAcentral's name for it is "bacterial LSU rRNA". It matches the Rfam family "Bacterial large subunit ribosomal RNA". Lineage: Bacteria; Pseudomonadati; Pseudomonadota; Gammaproteobacteria; Enterobacterales; Enterobacteriaceae. The record is from RNAcentral.